AGGUGCGAUGGCCGUCGUCAGUUCGUACUGUGAAGCAUCCUGUUAAGUCAGGCAACGAGCGAGACCCACGCCAACAGUUGCCAGCUCGUCCUCCGGGAUGGAGGGGACACUGUUGGGACCGCCUCUGCUAAAGAGGAGGAAGGAAUGGGCAACGGUAGGUCAGCAUGCCCCGAAUUAUCUGGGCUACACGCGGGCUACAAUGGGUGGGACAAUGGGUAUCGACACCGAAAGGUGAAGGCAAUCUCCUAAACCCAUCCUUAGUUCGGAUUGUGGGCUGCAACUCGCCCACAUGAAGCUGGAAUCUGUAGUAAUCGUGUUUCAAAAUGGCACGGUGAAUAUGUCCCUGCUCCUU
This 352-nucleotide ribosomal RNA is filed under the name uncultured Methanomicrobiales archaeon. RNAcentral describes it as "bacterial SSU rRNA". It matches the Rfam family "Archaeal small subunit ribosomal RNA", at positions 988 to 1338 of the family's 1478-position model. Lineage: Archaea; Methanobacteriati; Methanobacteriota; Methanomicrobia; Methanomicrobiales. The record is from RNAcentral.